UUUGAGUCAGUCAAACAAACUAAUCGAUUCCAAUCACCCCUCUUCUCGUUCCUUCGAUCCGGCGAAUGCUCGGAACCAAAUCAUCUCCGUCGGUCGGAGGAUCUCCCAGGUGAGAAGCCGGCCCGCCAUGGAGGGCGGACCGAUCCCACCUCGCACCGGUCCCUAGAGGCGGCCGCAGCCGAGGUAUCGGCUGCUUCGGACUCGUCGACCAUGCUGAGGGUUCGGCUAGACUGGUGGACUUCUCACCAACAUAUUAAGUCUUCAUCCAUCCACCUCAGCGACAGUAAUAUGGCACAACAUAAGGGAAAAGUCUGAAUCACGGGAGAAGAGAGAAAUGUUACAGAAGCUACCUUUGAGGAAGAGUUCAUUGAAGAGAAUGCAUCUGACCCUCUCUGAUCAUCGUGAACCUCUUUAGGUUAGUUUUUUUACCCUUCUUUCUUUUACUAUGAUAUGACUAGCCAUAAAUAACAUAAACUCACUAUACAAGAAUAUUCUUGGUCAAUAAAUAAUGAUGAACCUGAUAACACCGAAUUUAGACGAUCGGUCUGAUCUCAUUAAAGUUUGAAUUACAGCCUAAAUAUGAAAAAAAACACUGCUUGCCUUGAAAGAUAACCAGGAACGAGUUCCUGCAGGGGCGACCUGAGAACACAUCACCAGCCAGCACCAGCAGGAGCCAUUCGAGGCUGGUGCAUGUGCUCACAGAUCGCUCCUGUUGGAACCCUGUCUCCAACCCUUCCUCUGCUGCAGCGGCUGCCGUUGUUGCUUCUGAUGUUUUUGAGAUUAUGCUUCUGUUUAUACUGCAACUCCCUCGGGAAACUUGUACUCCAACAGUUUGUGGUGUACUGGAAGCAGCGUUUUUGAUAAAGAGGGAGUACAGUUUGAUAGUACCAUUCUAAUCCAUGCACAUCAAACGAUAAUUUCUUUCUUUUUUAUUUUAUUUUUUAAUUGAUAUCUGAUAUUUAGUUUA
Zingiber officinale is the source of this 967-nucleotide long non-coding RNA. RefSeq lists it as uncharacterized. The record is from RefSeq and is a predicted model, not a curated record. The transcript has 2 exons. Lineage: Eukaryota; Viridiplantae; Streptophyta; Magnoliopsida; Zingiberales; Zingiberaceae.